AGUUUGGUUCUGCCUCUGUGUGAACUUUUAUGCAACAUCAACAAAUAGCCAUCUUUUAGCAUUGUCUUUAUAUCACACGAAUAUUUGAAAAAUCAAGAUGAUUAUAAUAAUGUGCAAAGGAGUAUUUAAAGCAAAUGCAUUUAAAAUGUGUGUGUGUGUGUAUGUGUGUGCAGAUAAAGAGUAUACCAAAUAAAUAGGUUACUUCUCUGUGGGGCAAAAUUUAGCCACAAUUUCUCCCUUUCAUCUGAUGCAUUUUCUAGGAAUUAGAAAAUAAUGUAGCAAGUAAGGUAGGAGUUGAUAGGGAGUGAAGAAAACUGUUCCCGAAAUAAACAGAGCUGACAUUUUCAGCACACUGAUAAGAACAGACAGUUUGACUUCUUACGGUUUCCGUAUCUUUGCACUCUGAACACUGGGAGAGUGACGUCAGAGUCCCUGUUGGCAGAGGGAAAAGUUUUACUUGAAAACCCUGUAAAAAGAUGAUGUCUUCCACACAUGCAGACCUACUGGAUUCUGGGAAACUCCUGGAAGAUGGGCAUUUCUGAAUCUCAUGGCGGCAGCCACGACCUGAUCGAAUCUUCCGGGAGACCUGUCUGCCCUACCUGCCUCCAAAAGGCCCAGUGGCUCCCACUUCCCUGUAGAAGACACACCAUUGCAGCUGAGUGGGACCUGGCCACUAUGUGGACUGAACAAGAGAGGAAUGAAGAUGGUGGGGACGGAGGGAGGUGUGAUGGACGCGUGCCCGACACCACGCUCGUCUUACAGGAGACGCUGAAGGUGCGCCGUGCACCCCUGAAUGCUCUGCAGAUGAACGGAGAGUCUGCAGCUUGGACCACACACACUCCUGUUAAAGUCGUCGGCUUCAAGGACUCCCUUCUGAGAUGCACAGAAUCCAUAAGCUGCACUGUAGUUCUAGUGAUUCAUGUUGAACCUACACCUAUGCCUUUUUAAAAUUUAAAUGUACAAAAUGUGCUGAGCCCCUAGGCAUCUGUAUUGGAAUACAUUUCCAGUCUUCUGACAUGAAUGCCCUCAGUCUUACUGAUGGAAACAGACUGUGGGGUUGCUGUGUAAUUUCCAUUCAUAUUGUAUUAAAAUGUUCGAGAUGCAUUUUCUGUCAAAGAGAGUAUCAUUUCAUAAAAUUAUUCACUAUUCCCCCAUAUGGAAAUGUCAGACAUUGCUAAUGUAAUCCUCAAAGAAUUACCCAGAGUGUCUGUAGACCAAGAGACAGAUUUCCAGUGCUGUAGCACAGGAUGGCUUGUUCACUCUGUUCUUGGGGAAGCAGUGUGAGUUGUGAGUUUUCCCUCCAUGUCUACGCAGGGUCACCCUGUGAGCGACGUCUUUUACCUUUUUCUGCUUCUCUCAGUUACCCUAUGGCACAGAAACUGAAAACAUCAUAAAAAACCAGAAGAUGUGUUAUUUCCUUGGUUUUGUGACACUCUUCAUGAGUGACUUUCACCUUUGCUACAUGCAGAGAGCGUCUGCAAAUACACAUUCCAGUCUAGAUGAACCUAUCUGAGGGCAGCGGUGGAGACGCAGGCGUAGAGAACAGACUUGUGGGCUCAGUGUGCGGAGGAGACGGUGGGAUGAAUUGAGAGGGCAACACUGACGUGUACAUGACCAUGUGUAAAAUUAGGCAGCCAGCGGGAAUUUGCUGUAUGAUGCAGGGAGCUCAACCGCUGCUCUGGGACAGCCUGGAGGGAGGGGAUGGGCUGGGAGCUGGGAGUGGGGUU
Molecule: long non-coding RNA, 1727 nt
Filed under: Bos indicus x Bos taurus (hybrid cattle)
Lineage: Eukaryota; Metazoa; Chordata; Mammalia; Artiodactyla; Bovidae
Description: lncRNA (ENSBIXG00000028640.1)
Source: RNAcentral